CCCCAGUAACGGCGAGUGAAGCGGCAACAGCUCAAAUUUGAAAUCUGGCGAGUUGUAAUUUGUAGAGGAUGCUUCGGGCGCGGCCGCGGCCUAAUUUACUUGGAACAGUGAGUCAGAGAGGGUGAGAGUCCCGUUCACCGUUCCGGGUGAAGCUCCUUCGACGAGUCGAGUUGUUUGGGAAUGCAGCUCUAAAUGGGUGGUAAAUUUCAUCUAAAGCUAAAUACUGGCCAGAGACCGAUAGCGCACAAGUAGAGUGAUCGAAAGAUGAAAAGCACUUUGAAAAGAGAGUUAAACAGUAUGUGAAAUUGUUGAAAGGGAAGCGCUUGCGACCAGACUUGGGCGGGGCGGUUCCCCCGGUCUUCGCCGGGCUACUCCGCCCCGUGCAGGCCAGCAUCGGUGCGGGCGGUCGGUAAAAGACCCUGGGAAUGUAUCUACCUUCGGGUCGACUUAUAGCCCGGGGUGUUAUGCGGCCCGCCUGGACCGAGGAACGCGCUUCGGCUCGGAUGCUGGCGUAAAUGGUCGUAAGCGGCCCGUCUUGAAACACGGACCAAGGAGUCUAACAUCUAUGCGAGUGUUUGGGUGCCCCCGGACGCUGAAAGUGAGUGAGGUAGGACGCACUAUCGACCGAUCCUGAUGUGCUCGGAUGGAUUUGAGUAAGAGCAUGGCUGUUGGGACCCGAAAGAUGGUGAACUAUGCCCGAAUAGGGUGAAGCCAGAGGAAACUCUGGUGGAGGCUCGCAGCGGUUCUGACGUGCAAAUCGAUCGUCAAAUUUGGGCAUAGGGGCGAAAGACUAAUCGAACCAUCUGGUAGCUGGUUCCUGCCGAAGUUUCCCUCAGGAUAGCAGUAACGUUUUCAGUUUUAUGAGGUAAAGCGAAUGAUUAGAGGCCUUGGGGCUAGAACAGCCUUAACCUAUUCUCAAACUUUAAAUAUGUAAGAAGUCCUUGUUACUUGGCUGAACGUGGACAUUCGAAUGUACCGUUACUAGUGGGCCAUUUUUGGUAAGCAGAACUGGCGAUGCGGGAUGAACCGAACGCGAGGUUAAGGUGCCGGAAUGCACGCUCAUCAGACACCACAAAAGGUGUCAAUGCAUCUAGACAGCCGGACGGUGGCCAUGGAAGUCGGAAUCCGCUUAGGAGUGUGU
Molecule: ribosomal RNA, 1141 nt
Filed under: Dermatocarpon sp. AAN-2007c
Lineage: Eukaryota; Fungi; Ascomycota; Eurotiomycetes; Verrucariales; Verrucariaceae
Description: eukaryotic LSU rRNA
Rfam family: Eukaryotic large subunit ribosomal RNA
Source: RNAcentral